Molecule: ribosomal RNA, 460 nt
Filed under: uncultured bacterium
Lineage: Bacteria
Description: partial 16S ribosomal RNA
Rfam family: Bacterial small subunit ribosomal RNA
Source: RNAcentral
CUACGGGAGGCAGCAGUGAGGAAUAUUGGUCAAUGGGCGCGAGCCUGAACCAGCCAUCCCGCGUGCAGGAUGACGGCCCUAUGGGUUGUAAACUGCUUUUCUAUGCCAAGAAACCUGAUUACGUGUAAUCAGUUGCCGGUAGCAUAGGAAUAAGCAUCGGCUAACUCCGUGCCAGCAGGCCGCGGUAAUACGGAGGAUGCAAGCGUUAUCCGGAUUCAUUGGGUUUAAAGGGUGCGCAGGUGGGCUUGUAAGUCAGUGGUGAAAUGCUGCCGCUUAACGGUAGAACUGCCAUUGAUACUGCGAGUCUUGAGUAUGGUUGAGGUAGGCGGAAUGUGUUGUGUAGCGGCGAAAUGCAUAGAUAUGACACAGAACGCCAAUUGCGAAGGCAGCUUACUAAGCCAUUACUGACGCUGAGGCACGAAAGCGUGGGGAGCGAACAGGAUUAGAUACCCUCGUAGUC